Molecule: long non-coding RNA, 1185 nt
Filed under: Sus scrofa (pig)
Lineage: Eukaryota; Metazoa; Chordata; Mammalia; Artiodactyla; Suidae
Description: lncRNA (ENSSSCG00030006204.1)
Source: RNAcentral
GAUCUGAAUCCACUAAUUGGAUUUACCUCUGCCAGAAGUAAAAGAAAAGGAGGAAAGUUCCUUGGGUUGCCUCUGAUGAUUUUAAAUAAAAAAAGGGAAGAAAAGAAAACUUCAACUGGAAUCCAUUUUUAUUGGCAGAGGUCAAAUGAAGGCCUCUAGCUUUCAGGGCUGGUGGAAAUGAGCAGAAGGAAUGUCUGGAGGCAGCACUGGGAUAUCAAGACAAGUGUGUCUGUCUUGUCUCUGCAUUCUCCAUUUGUGGUGACACCUGGAAUAUUUUCUAGGAUUUUUUCUAUUGCUGGAAUUUCCAAGGGCCCUACCUCCAGAACAGGUAUUAUCCAAGACCGCAAGAACACAAAGAUGCAUACCAAGAUGUGCCUAUUUAAAAACUGGUAUUUUAGUGACUAAGCAAGACACUGGAAGACAUCAGAAAGCAACAUGAAGAAGAAUAUAAUAGAACUAUACCCCAACUGUGAGAUCAUCACGUAAGAAGGAACAAACAGAACGCACUCAACAGAUAAGCAGCAUCAUGCAGUAGUGUGUGUGUGUGUGUGUGUGUGUGUGUGUGUGUGUGUGUGUUUUAACGCAAAUGAAAAAGAGGAAGCAAGGAACCCAUGUACUGUGGUAUUCGUUUGGCUGAUUAGUUGGGUAUUAUGUUUGGUUGGUUUUUGCUGUUGUUGCUUGUGUAGGGAAUAUUUUUUUUUUUUGGGGGGGGGUUUGCUAGCUUGAACAUGCACGUACAUGUAAAUUUAAAGCUGAAGUAACAACAUUUUCAUCCUGGGACCCAUAUUAUAUGAUUAUAGUUAGCUUUGUAUCUACCAGGUGUUCCUUAUUCUUAAAGAAAUCCAAUUUUGGAUUCUGGGAAAUACAAAUUUUGUUCUUACAGCAACAUGCACUAGGAGGUGAGAAAUGGUUGUUUUAGCUCAGUUUUUAAAAAUUCCGGGGGUUUGGGAUUGGCAUAUGCACACUGUGGUAUAUAGAAUUAUUGACCAAAGGGGACCUGCGCUAUAGCACAGGGAACUUCACCCAAUAUUCUGUGACAACCUAUAUGGGAAAGGAAUCUGAAAAAAGAAUGAAUGCAUGUACAUGUAAAACUGAAUCACAUUUUGGUACAGCAGAAAUUAUCACAACAUUGUAAGUCGACUAUAUUUCAAUAAAACAUGAAAAAGACUCUGUUUUCCUUUAUCA